RNAcentral lists this ribosomal RNA (785 nucleotides) under Aphelenchoides xui. RNAcentral's name for it is "eukaryotic LSU rRNA". It matches the Rfam family "Eukaryotic large subunit ribosomal RNA", at positions 344 to 964 of the family's 3401-position model. The record is from RNAcentral. Lineage: Eukaryota; Metazoa; Nematoda; Chromadorea; Rhabditida; Aphelenchoididae.
ACAAGUACCGUGAGGGAAAGUUGAAAAGCACUUUGAAAAGAGAGUGCAAGAGAACGUGAAACCGUUAUAGUGGAAGCGGAUGGAGCCAACGUAUCAGUGCGUAUUCAGCCUUCGACUACGAGUUCGAUGUUGGUUUGGUGUUCUGCAAAGUCAUCGGCUAGCAUUUGGGCCCGAGUUGGUGGUGCAUUUGCGUACAGAGUGCGCCGAAUCGGUCGAUUGUGUUGUUGAAAGCCGAUGAAGAGGACUCGUUUUCGGAUGAGAACCCUGCGUCGGUGGACAACAAAUACGGUUGAUUGUUGUUGAAUGAGAGACUGGUGUAUUCGUUGCAGUCGUUCGAUGUUUGGGUUGUUCGUGUUUAGCACAUGUGUUCCGCACUUAUGAUUCGAGCGUUGAGCGGGUGUUUCGCUGUCUCGAUAUUCGGUGUUCAGUUGGUCACCCAUUUGACCCGUCUUGAAACACGGACCAAGGAGUUUAAGGUGUACGCAAGUCAUUGGAUUUGAAAAUUCAAAGGCGUAAUGAAAGUGGGACACUUAGUGUCUGUGAUGUGAUUUGUUGUUGGUUUCGAUCGCGACAAAGCAACAUCAACCCAUGACUAGAAUUAAUUCUGUUGUGGAGUUCGAGCGUACGCUUUGAGACCCGAAAGAUGGUGAACUAUGCCUGAGCAGGACGAAGUCGGAAGAAAUUCCGAUGGAAGUCCGAAGCGGUUCUGACGUGCAAAUCGAUCGUCUGACUUGGGUAUAGGGGCGCAAGACUAAUCGAACCAUCUAGUAGCUGGUUCCUUCCGA